UAAAACCUAAAAGUGUCCCCGACCUCAACCUAACUUCAAUCCUCUUCUCUCUAAUCUGGUGCCCCCCUCAGUUCUAUCUCUUUUUAGUUUCUUAGCCACUUGAUUCCACAUCCGAUGCGCAACCUCUAGCAUCUAGCAUGAGAAUUUUGUUAUAUUAUGAGUUCGAGGGAGGAGCGAGCAAUUGCCUAAAGCCAAUUCCCCAAAAUCUUUCCGACCCAUUCGACUUCGAUUUCUCGCCAUCGCGACCGAACUCCAACCAAAUGGCGACGGCGGAUUUUGACGAUGUGGGGGUGCUCGGAGAGGUGGCGGCAUCCUCUGCUGCACCAACAAGACGAAGAUGUAAUGGGCUUGCGAUGAGAAAGUUCAAAGUGAACAAGCUCAUGAGCAAAUAGCAGAGGGUUCCUCUGUCCUCCAACAUGCCCAGUUUUCAGUUUAUGAUUUGCAGAAGCUGUUUGAUAAUUGGAUUUUGUUUGACUUUUUGAGUUUGAUUUGCAUGUGGCAAUUGGGUAAUUGGGUUUUGCUUGAAUUUUUAAGUUUGGGCAAUAGGAUUUGCAGGAGGCAAUUGCGUUUUCUUUGUUGAAUUAUGAGAUUAGCUUUGUUCGUGAUUUGCCUAAAGCCAAUUCUUUCCGCCUGGAA
Molecule: long non-coding RNA, 636 nt
Organism: Malus domestica (apple)
Lineage: Eukaryota; Viridiplantae; Streptophyta; Magnoliopsida; Rosales; Rosaceae
Source: RefSeq, a predicted model, not a curated record